This 171-nucleotide unclassified non-coding RNA is filed under the name Barnettozyma californica. Its description in RNAcentral is "partial internal transcribed spacer 2". The record is from RNAcentral. Lineage: Eukaryota; Fungi; Ascomycota; Saccharomycetes; Phaffomycetales; Phaffomycetaceae.
CUCCUUCAAACUUCUAGUUUGGAUUUGGGCUUGGGGAAGCUUAUACCCAGCCUGAAAUAGUGGGUGAAACAUAUGUCUAUUAGGUUUUACACAAUGAGUUAGGUUCUGCCAGUUCGUUGAAUAAAAUCUAUGUGAAGAUGCUUCAAUACCAGCCCAUUUUAUACCCCCCAA